This 301-nucleotide ribosomal RNA is filed under the name uncultured bacterium. RNAcentral describes it as "partial 16S ribosomal RNA". It matches the Rfam family "Bacterial small subunit ribosomal RNA", at positions 509 to 809 of the family's 1533-position model. The record is from RNAcentral.
CAGUAGCCACGGGAAUACGUAGGUGGCGAGCGUUGUCCGGAAUCAUUGGGCGUAAAGGGAGCGCAGGCGGGCAUGUAAGUCUUUCUUAAAAGUUCGGGGCUCAACCCCGUGAUGGGAAAGAAACUACAUGUCUUGAGUACAGGAGAGGAAAGCGGAAUUCCCAGUGUAGCGGUGAAAUGCGUAGAUAUUGGGAGGAACACCAGUGGCGAAGGCGGCUUUCUGGACUGCAACUGACGCUGAGGCUCGAAAGCCAGGGGAGCGAACGGGAUUAGAUACCCCCGUAGUCCCUGUCUCUUAUACA